RNAcentral lists this ribosomal RNA (825 nucleotides) under uncultured bacterium. RNAcentral describes it as "bacterial SSU rRNA". It matches the Rfam family "Bacterial small subunit ribosomal RNA", at positions 671 to 1500 of the family's 1533-position model. The record is from RNAcentral.
UGGUGUAGGGGUAAAAUCCGUAGAGAUCAGAAGGAUACCGAUGCGAAGGCGAUCUACUGGAACAUUACUGACGCUGAGAUGCGAAAGCGUGGGGAGCAAACAGGAUUAGAUACCCUGGUAGUCCACGCCCUAAACGAUGCACACUAGUUGUUGCUAUGCUAGACAUAGCAGUAAUGCAGUUAACACAGUAAGUGUGCCGCCUGGGGAGUACGGUCGCAAGAUUAAAACUCAAAGGAAUAGACGGGGACCCGCACAAGCGGUGGAGCAUGUGGUUUAAUUCGACGAUACGCGAAGAACCUUACCUGGCCUUGACAUAGUAAGAAUCUAAUAGAGAUAUAAGAGUGCUAGUUUACUAGAGCUUACAUACAGGUGCUGCACGGCUGUCGUCAGCUCGUGUCGUGAGAUGUUGGGUUAAGUCCCGCAACGAGCGCAACCCUCGUGUUUAGUUACUAACAGUUCGGCUGAGGACUCUAGACAGACUGCCUGGGUAACCAGGAGGAAGGUGAGGUCGACGUCAAGUCAUCAUGGCCCUUACGGCCAGGGCUACACACGUGCUACAAUGGGGUAUACAAAGAGCCGCGAUACCGUGAGGUGGAGCAAAUCUCAUAAAAUAUCUCCCAGUUCGGAUUGAAGUCUGCAACUCGACUUCAUGAAGUUGGAAUCGCUAGUAAUCGUAGAUCAGCAAUGCUACGGUGAAUACGUUCCCGGGUCUUGUACUCACCGCCCGUCACACCAUGGGAGUUGAUUUCAUUCGAAGCGGGGAUGCUAAAAUAGCUACCUUCCACAGUGGAAUUAGCGACUAGGGUGAAGUCGUAACAAGGUACC